Molecule: ribosomal RNA, 831 nt
Filed under: Rhytisma panamense
Lineage: Eukaryota; Fungi; Ascomycota; Leotiomycetes; Rhytismatales; Rhytismataceae
Description: eukaryotic LSU rRNA
Rfam family: Eukaryotic large subunit ribosomal RNA
Source: RNAcentral
AGCAGCUCAAAUUUGAAAGCCGGCUUAGGCCCGCAUUGUAAUUUGCAGAGGAUGCUUCGGGCGCGGCGCCGGCCUAAGUUCCUUGGAACAGGACGUCACGGAGGGUGAGAAUCCCGUAUGUGGCUAGCGGCUUGCACCCGGGUGAAGCUCCUUCGACGAGUCGAGUUGUUUGGGAAUGCAGCUCUAAACGGGUGGUGUACUUCAUCUAAAGCUAAAUACCGGCCAGAGACCGAUAGCGCACAAGUAGAGUGAUCGAAAGAUGAAAAGCACUUUGGAAAGAGGGUUAAACAGUACGUGAAAUUGUUGAAAGGGAAGCGCUUGCCAUCAGACUUGCGCGGCGUCGAUCAACCUCGGGUUUCUCCCGGGUGCACUCGGCGCCGCGCAGGCCAGCAUCGGUUUCGGCGGCUGGACAAAGGCUCGGGGAACGUGGGUAGCUUCGGCCACCGUUAUAGCCCCGGGCGCAAUGCAGCCAGCUGGGACCGAGGACCGCGCUUCGGCUAGGAUGCUGGCGUAAUGGUGGUAAGCGACCCGUCUUGAAACACGGACCAAGGAGUCUAACAUCUAUGCGAGUGUUUGGGUGGCAAACCCAUGCGCGCAAUGAAAGUGAACGGAGGUGAGAACCCUCGCGGGGUGCAUCAUCGACCGAUCCUGAUGUCUACGGAUGGAUUUGAGUAGGAGCAUAGCUGUUGGGACCCGAAAGAUGGUGAACUAUGCCUGAAUAGGGUGAAGCCAGAGGAAACUCUGGUGGAGGCUCGCAGCGGUUCUGACGUGCAAAUCGAUCGUCAAAUUUGGGUAUAGGGGCGAAAGACUAAUCGAACCAUGUAGCCCUUC